RNAcentral lists this transfer RNA (69 nucleotides) under Xinidium sp. XIN01. RNAcentral describes it as "tRNA-Glu". Lineage: Eukaryota; Metazoa; Arthropoda; Insecta; Coleoptera; Scarabaeidae. The record is from RNAcentral.
AUUUAUAUAGUUUAAAAUUUAAAACAUUAUAUUUUCAAUAUAACAAUAAAAAAUUAUUUUUUAUAAAUA